AUACGUAGGGGGCGAGCGUUGUCCGGAAUGAUUGGGCGUAAAGGGCGCGUAGGCGGCCCGGUAAGUCUGGAGUGAAAGUCCUGUUUUUAAGAUGGGAAUUGCUUUGGAUACUGUCGGGCUUGAGUGCAGGAGAGGUAAGUGGAAUUCCCAGUGUAGAGGUGAAAUGCGUAGAGAUUGGGAGGAACACCAGUGGCGAAGGCGACUUACUGGACUGUAACUGACGCUGAGGCGCGAAAGUGUGGGGAGCAAACAGGAUUAGAUACCCUGGUAGUCCACACUGUAAACGAUGAAUGCUAGGUGUAGGGGGUAUCGACCCCUUCUGUGCCGCAGUCAACACAAUAAGCAUUCCGCCUGGGGAGUACGGCCGCAAGGUUGAAACUCAAAGGAAUUGACGGGG
Molecule: ribosomal RNA, 397 nt
Filed under: uncultured bacterium
Lineage: Bacteria
Description: partial 16S ribosomal RNA
Rfam family: Bacterial small subunit ribosomal RNA
Source: RNAcentral